RNAcentral lists this ribosomal RNA (117 nucleotides) under Deltaproteobacteria bacterium. The record is from RNAcentral. Lineage: Bacteria; Pseudomonadati; Myxococcota; Myxococcia.
UCCGGCGGCAAUGUCGGAGGGGCCACACCCGUUCCCAUCCCGAACACGGAAGUUAAGCCCUCCAGAGCCGAUGGUACUGCAGGGGCCACCCUGUGGGAGAGUAGGACGCUGCCGGGU